This 409-nucleotide ribosomal RNA is filed under the name uncultured soil bacterium. RNAcentral describes it as "bacterial SSU rRNA". It matches the Rfam family "Bacterial small subunit ribosomal RNA", at positions 26 to 426 of the family's 1533-position model. The record is from RNAcentral.
AGGACGAACGCUGGCGGCGCGCUUAACACAUGCAAGUCGAGCGAGAACCAGUCCUUCGGGACUGGGGACAGCGGCGAACGGGUGAGUAACACGUGGGUAAUCUGCCCUCGAUUCUGGGAUAGCCCGGGGAAACCCGGAUUAAUACCGGAUAGCCUCUCGAGCUCUCGAGCUCUUGAGAAAAGGUAGCUUCGGCCUCCGAUCGAGGAUGAGCCCGCGGCGGAUUAGCUUGUUGGUGGGGUAAUGGCCUACCAAGGCGACGAUCCGUAGCUGGUCUGAGAGGACGAUCAGCCACACUGGGACUGAGACACGGCCCAGACUCCUACGGGAGGCAGCAGUGGGGGAAUCUUGCGUCAAUGGGCGAAAGCCUGACGCAGCGACGCCGCGUGGGGGAAGAAAGGCCUCGGGUUGU